UACUGGGUCAUCAACAGACUUAGCAAGUCCCUGGAGGAGCGAGAGCGACGACUGGACACAAAUAUGUCAAGAAGCUAGAAGAAAUCAGAUGGAGAACAAGAGAUUUGCUCAUAUAGGCACCAGUAACCAGGUUGGAAGCUAAUGUUGCCCAUACCCAUUAGAUUACUAAUGGUCUCUGCAAUCUAUGAGGCUCCUAAUGACAAAUGUUCAGUCAUCUCUCCAAGAGAAACCCAUGGACAGAUGAGAUAAGAGUGACCCUUCACCAUCUAGAUGGAUGGGCUAUCACAUGCAUUGAAGUGAGAGUUAUGGUGAAAGAACUCAGUAAACCCCAUUGCCUGGGAUGCUGCGGUUGCUGCUGGACAAAAAGUUGAUCAUUAUAGGUCAAGAAACUGUAUACAGAAGGAUAACUAUAUCAG
Molecule: long non-coding RNA, 416 nt
Organism: Hyla sarda
Lineage: Eukaryota; Metazoa; Chordata; Amphibia; Anura; Hylidae
Exons: 3
Source: RefSeq, a predicted model, not a curated record